UACGGAGGGUGCAAGCGUUAAUCGGAAUUACUGGGCGUAAAGCGCACGCAGGCGGUUUGUUAAGUCAGAUGUGAAAUCCCCGGGCUCAACCUGGGAACUGCAUUUGAAACUGGCAGACUUGAGUCUCGUAGAGGGGGGUAGAAUUCCAGGUGUAGCGGUGAAAUGCGUAGAUAUCUGGAGGAAUAUCAGUGGCGAAGGCGGCCCCCUGGACAAAGACUGACGCUCAGGUGCGAAAGCGUGGGGAGCAAACAGG
RNAcentral lists this ribosomal RNA (253 nucleotides) under uncultured bacterium. Its description in RNAcentral is "partial 16S ribosomal RNA". It matches the Rfam family "Bacterial small subunit ribosomal RNA", at positions 524 to 776 of the family's 1533-position model. The record is from RNAcentral.